Molecule: ribosomal RNA, 277 nt
Filed under: uncultured bacterium
Lineage: Bacteria
Description: partial 16S ribosomal RNA
Rfam family: Bacterial small subunit ribosomal RNA
Source: RNAcentral
GCAGCCGCGGUAAUACGUAGGGGGCUAGCGUUAUCCGGAUUUACUGGGCGUAAAGGGUGCGUAGGUGGUUUCUUAAGUCAGGAGUGAAAGGCUACGGCUUAACCGUAGUAAGCUCUUGAAACUGGGAAACUUGAGUGCAGGAGAGGAAAGUGGAAUUCCUAGUGUAGCGGUGAAAUGCGUAGAUAUUAGGAGGAACACCAGUAGCGAAGGCGGCUUUCUGGACUGUAACUGACACUGAGGCACGAAAGCGUGGGGAGCAAACAGGAUUAGAUACCCC